RNAcentral lists this ribosomal RNA (253 nucleotides) under uncultured bacterium. RNAcentral describes it as "partial 16S ribosomal RNA". It matches the Rfam family "Bacterial small subunit ribosomal RNA", at positions 524 to 776 of the family's 1533-position model. The record is from RNAcentral.
UACGUAGGGUGCGAGCGUUGUCCGGAAUUAUUGGGCGUAAAGGGCUCGUAGGCGGUUUGUCGCGUCGGGAGUGAAAACCUCGGGCUUAACUCGGGGCUUGCUUUCGAUACGGGCAGACUAGAGGUAUGCAGGGGAGAACGGAAUUCCUGGUGUAGCGGUGAAAUGCGCAGAUAUCAGGAGGAACACCGGUGGCGAAGGCGGGUCUCUGGGCAGUAACUGACGCUGAGGAGCGAAAGCGUGGGGAGCGAACAGG